UACGAAGGGGGCGAGCGUUGUUCGGAUUUACUGGGCGUAAAGGGCGCGCAGGCGGUCAUUUUUGUCGAGUGUGAAAGCCCCGGGCUUAACCUGGGAACUGCGCUCGAAACGGGAUGACUAGAGAUCGGGAGAGGAGAGUGGAAUUCCCAGUGUAGAGGUGAAAUUCGUAGAUAUUCGGAAGAACACCAGUGGCGAAGGCGGCUCACUGGUCCGGUACUGACGCUGAGGUGCGAAAGCGUGGGGAGCAAACAGG
Molecule: ribosomal RNA, 253 nt
Filed under: uncultured bacterium
Lineage: Bacteria
Description: partial 16S ribosomal RNA
Rfam family: Bacterial small subunit ribosomal RNA
Source: RNAcentral